This 484-nucleotide ribosomal RNA is filed under the name uncultured bacterium. RNAcentral's name for it is "partial 16S ribosomal RNA". It matches the Rfam family "Bacterial small subunit ribosomal RNA", at positions 30 to 507 of the family's 1533-position model. The record is from RNAcentral.
AUUGAACGCUGGCGGCAGGCCUAACGCAUGCAAGUCGAGCGGAUGAAGGGAGCUUGCUCCUGGAUUCAGCGGCGGACGGGUGAGUAAUGCCUAGGAAUCUGCCUGGUAGUGGGGGAUAACGUCCGGAAACGGGCGCUAAUACCGCAUACGUCCUGAGGGAGAAAGUGGGGGAUCUUCGGACCUCACGCUAUCAGAUGAGCCUAGGUCGGAUUAGCUAGUUGGUGGGGUAAAGGCCUACCAAGGCGACGAUCCGUAACUGGUCUGAGAGGAUGAUCAGUCACACGGGAACUGAGACACGGUCCAGACUCCUACGGGAGGCAGCGGUGGGGAAUAUUGGGCAAUGGGCGAAAGCCUGAUCCAGCCAUGCCGCGUGUGUGAAGAAGGUCUUCGGAUUGUAAAGCACUUUAAGUUGGGAGGAAGGGCAGUAAGUUAAUACCUUGCUGUUUUGACGUUACCAACAGAAUAAGCACCGGCUAACUUCGUG